RNAcentral lists this long non-coding RNA (1131 nucleotides) under Carassius auratus (goldfish). RNAcentral's name for it is "lncRNA (ENSCARG00000019975.1)". Lineage: Eukaryota; Metazoa; Chordata; Actinopteri; Cypriniformes; Cyprinidae. The record is from RNAcentral.
CAUGGAUUUAGUGUAAUAAUGAACAACUUUUUAUGGCAUUUAUUAAUAUGGUUUAGUAAUUAAUAAAUUGUGUAAUUUAAAAAUAUAGCUAAUGUUGAUUUAUAAAACUUUUCGCUUACAGUAUAAAUGGUGCUUGAUCUUUGCAUAUUUCUCGUCUGAUGAGAUGACUUUUUACCUUUUAAGCAACAUUAUGAAUAGACAUAAGCAACACUUUGAAGUUAAAAAUGUUUUAAUUAUGGAUUUGUUUAGCACAAAUACACAGCUUUUCACUUCACUAGAUUUGUCAGUUGUAACACUGGCUCAGAGAUUUGAACUCUCAUUCUGAUGGCACCCAUUCACUGCAGAGGAUUCAUUAGUGAGCAAGGGUUCUCAUCUACUGCUUGGAUCGCCUGAAAGGUGAGCUUUUCAGCACAUUUUUUUUAUUUUUGGGUGAACUAUUCCUUUAGUUCUUUACUUAGAAUAGACCAUAGGGACUGUCCUGUGCACUUGACCAGCUUUAAGCACAUAUGAAGAACAACUUAACUGUAAUGGUGUUAGAUAUGUGUAUGCAUGCUUUCUUGUGUUUGAUUGGAGGUGAGUAGGAGGUGUGCUGAUGUUGACCCAGAAGUGAAGUGAUGCGUGGAGGACAGACAGCAGUGACAGCAGGAGAGAACAGGUUUCUCAACAGAUUACUAAGUUGGAGACUCAUGCCAGUGGAUGGUGGUACUGAUGAUGGUGGACCGCCUGGUCUGAGACUGAAGACUGAAGCGAAUGAAGCAGACCUAUGCCGUCUGUCUCCUAAUAAACAGGCACCAGAUCCUGUGUCCCGGCCAGAGAGGAGCCCUGCCACCCAAACUGCCAUCUCUCUCGCCCCUAGAGCCUAGCAGGGAGGCGAACGGCCACACGCCGUCUGACAGAAAGACAGAGAGAGCAAAGCCAGCGGGCCAUAUGUGUCUGGUUGUGAGAGGAACUCAAACCCCAGACUGUCCAACUCAGAAAUGCUGCAGCUGCCCAGCUCUUCUUCAUGGCAGAAUUAAUGAAGCGCUCGGCGUGGAGCAGGGUGAAAAAGUCACAACUAAAGUAAGACAAGAUUUCUUCAAGAAGACUGAUGUGUCUGGACUCUUCCUCUCAUGUGAGUGUAGAUUUAAAUGA